Molecule: ribosomal RNA, 433 nt
Filed under: uncultured bacterium
Lineage: Bacteria
Description: partial 16S ribosomal RNA
Rfam family: Bacterial small subunit ribosomal RNA
Source: RNAcentral
AGCGAACGCUGGCGGCAGGCCUAACACAUGCAAGUCGAACGAACCUUUCGGGGUUAGUGGCGGACGGGUGAGUAACACGUGGGAACGUGCCUUUAGGUUCGGAAUAACUCAGGGAAACUUGUGCUAAUACCGAAUGUGCCCUUCGGGGGAAAGAUUUAUCGCCUUUAGAGCGGCCCGCGUCUGAUUAGCUAGUUGGUUGAGGUAAUGGCUCACCAAGGCGACGAUCAGUAGCUGGUCUGAGAGGAUGAUCAGCCACAUUGGGACUGAGACACGGCCCAAAACCCGACGGGAGGAAGCAGGGGGGAAUCGUGCGAAAGGGGCGAAAGCCUGACGCAGCCAUGCCGGGGGAAUGAUGAAGGUCUUAGGAUUGAAAAAUUCUUUCCCCGGGGACGAUAAUGACGGAACCCGGAGAAGAAGCCCCGGCUAACUUCGU